ACAUACGACCACAGGGUGUGGAAAAUAGGGCUUCCCGUCUGCUCAGCUGCACUCAAGCCACACGCCGGGAGAUUAGUAGUUGGGCGGGUGACUAUUAGUGAAUCCCUUCUAUUAUAUAUC
This 120-nucleotide ribosomal RNA is filed under the name Aspergillus brasiliensis. Lineage: Eukaryota; Fungi; Ascomycota; Eurotiomycetes; Eurotiales; Aspergillaceae. The record is from RNAcentral.